Gallus gallus (chicken) is the source of this 14639-nucleotide long non-coding RNA. RefSeq lists it as uncharacterized. NCBI's taxonomy places the organism in Eukaryota, Metazoa, Chordata, Aves, Galliformes, Phasianidae. The record is from RefSeq and is a predicted model, not a curated record. The transcript has 3 exons.
AUCCACUUGCCUUUGCCUUGCACUGGAAGGAGGGACUAUGCCAUGGAAAAACAGAGAAAAAAACCAACAGGUUAAGUGGUGCCUGGAAUUAUUCCUGUUGGACUGUAAACUUGUCAGCACAGCACUGCCAGCCCAGAGCCACACACACAUUGCAGGAGUGAUGUGAAGAGGGGCAGAAGGAUACAAAGCAGAAGGCUCAGAGGUUGGAGCCGAAGGCUGGAGGUGGACAUCCAGGUGAGGAGAGGUGAGGUCAGCGCCUGAUUUCAUUGGCACAGGUGGAAGUGAGAAAGCAGUUGUCACCUGAUGGAAAAGACGAAGUAGAGGAAAUGAAGCACAAAACUUUUCUAGUUUACUUAUUAGUACAAUAUGUAAUUGGAUGGAAGUAGCGGGUUUCAAAAAUUUGUCUUACUGUAAUGGCUAUAAUUUUUUUAGAGAUUGAAAAUGAAUCUGACGAGAAAAUACCAUUAAACUACCAACUUGCUUAAAAUUUAAAGGGUAAUUCACAUAUAAUGCUUUUAUUUAAUAGCCCAAUUUACAAAACGUCUAAAAUUAAUGCAGAUCUUUUCAGGACAAAAUCAGCUGUAACUGCACCAACUAAUUUUUGCUCAUUUGAACUGAAUUAUUAAUAAGAGAGAAAUAUACCAUAUGUUCCCAAAAGAGCUGGAUACAUUUAUUUCAAAUAAAAUCGCUGUGUUUGGUGGAAUAUAAGAGGUUUAAAUGCUUUCAGAGAAAUGGGUUACUUAUAUACUGAUUUAAUAGAGUAUAAAUCAGGCUGCAUAAUUAGGGACACAGCUGUUUCCCAACCUAAAGCUGGCAGCUUUUGUUGGUUAAGUUCUUUUAUCACCUGCAUGGCUUUAAUCAGCAAUAAUUUGUUCUUCUUGUGGAGUAAUACAAGUUAAUCAAUAAUUUUGCUGUUUGUACUGUGCUGGAAAAGAGCUUUUAUGGCAGGCUGAGUUUAAACCAGGCAUGCCUUCUCUUGGCUUGUUCACUUGAUUUAUUUCACUAUGCUGUGUUCCUGAUACUAAUUACAAAUGAAAGUAAAGGAUAUGUUGGUAACAAGCACAGCCUCUGUCUACAGCUGAUACAGAGAUAUAUGGCUUUAACUUCUUCAUAGAGAUUCUUAGUUUCAUGCUAUCUACAUAUUUGGGUGCAAACCUACAUGUUGACUCUCAACUAAAGCAAUGAGAAAACUUCACUCCUUAGAACUUGCUUGCAGACUUCUCUUCUGCCUCUGCCUACAGACCAAGGAGAGGGAUAAGUGGUAUUUCUGACCUGGCUGUGGUGGCAGUGUGCAAUGACUGGGGCCAGUGGGAUAAAUGGCAGGACAGCAAGAACUGUCCUGAAAAGUCACUGUCAUUAAGCGUGAUGUGCUGCUAUAACUAUUGAGAUUAGGUAGCUCAGAUCUCCAGGAUCAAUACUCAGGUGCAAUAGCUAACAUUUGUGAGUUUUUUUCAUAUACAGCUUGCACUCAUUUUGUCCUGUAGUAUGAGUCUAAGCGAACAAGCAGUUCAAUCUGAUCAAUAUAUUAUUUUCAAAUGACUUAUCAGGCGACACAGACAUUAAAACAGAAUGUGAUGUGAGAACAAAAGAUGCACAGAAGUUCUUUGACCUCUAGAUGGGCUACAUACACAGGAGACAGGGACGGAAUUCACCGGUGUGCAUGAAAACAGCAAGAUGGCUUUAGGUCAAGUUUGAACAGUCAGAGUUGUUACUUAAAUUUUCCCUUGUCCUAACAGUGUUAAAGAACCCAGAUCAAAUCCUAGUGAAAUCAGCAGAAAAGUUUCACUUUCCAUUAGUAUUUUGGACACAGGGACUUCAGAAGGUCUAUUUUGAGUUGAGAGAUAUACAAUAUAUAACAUUUGUAUAGUAUCGUCAUAUGAAUGUUCAUAUAUAUGUAAAAGGCUCAUAAAUAUUUUCUAAGAUGUCUAGACUUUAAAGUACACUUAUUUUAAAAGCCUUGGUGGGCAAUCAAUAGAAUGUGACAUCUCCCAGUGAAAUCCUCAAAUUGGAAUUGGCCACAUGAUUGCCACCGACUGUGCUCAACUACUUGUUCAACAGAAAAAAAAAACAGCAGACAUUCAAAUUUAAACAAAUUACAUUUGAAUAUUUUUAUUUUGCAUCCAAGAUGAUCUCUAGCCAAAAUAAGCCUGUGAAAAUUCCCCACCGCAAAGGGCAUUUAAUUUUUCAAUGUGGCACUGCUGGGGCUCCUGCAGCACCAGCUUCAAGUAAGAUGUUCCUGUAAUUGCAAACACAACUCUAUUUUUAUAUGGGGGUGAGGCCUAUGAGUCAUUUCUGCCACCAGAUUUUUAUUUUAAAGACUUUAUACUUUGAGCACAUCUUCUACUUCUGUAGUCUUUCCCAUUGACUUCCAAGGAGUAUGCACAAAUAAUCACAUUUCUUGCUUUUUAGAGCCAGAAUAUUCUUUUAAAACCCCAAAGAGGCAAUAUGCAACUUAAAUUAGAGAAUUAUGUUCGCUCACAAAUUAUGCUUUAAAGAGUCUUUGUGUCUUGCUAUAGAUCUUGCUCAGAGGGAACUUCCAUGUGCGUGGAUUCCAGCUGUGCAAGCUAUAAACAUUUUAUGCUGUACCUUUUACAGACUGAAGAGUUUCUCUGCAUUUAGAUUUGGUCCAAAGGAGCUGCCUCGAAAGGGUAAACUCUUGCACCUUCUAUCCAGCUCUUUGUCCCCAGUGACAAAUAAAGGACCACCAAGAAGAACAGUCUGAAACUUGUGACCAACAGAUGGAAAAACGUACAAACUCUUCUCCUUCCAGUCAAGAUAAAGGUUAAACAUGUAAAUGAGGAAAGCAAGAGUUUUGCAGUGAUGUGCUUUUCUUUUCUCCUUUGCCAGCUCAGAGAGCCACCAUGUGAAUAUUCCCCUGGCAUGCUUACACUUGUGCUUAGUACACUUAUGCCCAAGUUUUACUACAGGUAACCGUCCAAGUUUGAUACCAAUGGGAAUACUACAAUACUACAGAGGCAGUAUGUCUGAACGCAUUUUCCACAUCCACGUGCCCCAUGAUGAUAUGCCCAUGUAAACAUAUGCAAUGCACUGAAUUUUCCAUCAGCAGGUGCUCCAGAAGAACCACUCUGCAAUCAAGACCUAGCUAAAUUCCUCUUAAAAACCCAGUUUUUUUCUUUCCUUAAUGAACUCCAAUAACAAAAUGUGCUUCUUUGAACACGGGAAGGAUCCUUCUCUGCAACCAUACCCUUGUAUUCUCCAAAGCUCACUGUUCAGCAAGUGCUUCUCAAGGCAUUUUUCCUCCUUCCUAUUUUAUGCCAAUGCAAGAAGUGGAAUAAGAAAGCCUGACUCUCAAAGUGUAAAAACAGACACAUUGUAGGCAAUUUGAGUGCCUGGUACAACAUCUGCAUUCACAGCAAUUUCCAGCCGCCUGGUGAGUUGAAGGUAAAACAACACAGGGUAGAGGGUUUUGGUCAAUAUAUCAACUCCUUGACUCUUCCUAUGGCUGACACGCGUGACUGAAACUUCGUAUUUUUCACAAUUAAGAAAAAAAAUUAAAUCUCCUUCACAAAUUUCCAUCUCCAGAGAUUCUCCUUCUACUGAUGACUAAGUGAAGAGGGAAUUUCUGGAAUGGGUUGAUUUAGUUUGUGAUUUACUUCCAUUUUUCCUUGCUCUUCCAAGUGUUAAUUACAAUUAACGGAAAUGGAGAAGAUAUUUGGGAACAAGGAGCUUAUAAUUUUUAUCUUGUUGCUACUCAGUAACUGCUAUAGGUAUAAAUCAAUGUAUUUAAGAAAAAACACCCUAGUAACUAAAGUGAUGGCACUUUCUAUGCAUAAAGAAAGUGGCUUUUCUCCUAUGUCUCUAAUACCAACUGCAAAUUUAUGCAUAGCUUUGGAGGUCUGAUCCCCUAAUUCUUAAUUUUGAAAUGUUGAAAAAAAUGGGUGAGAGCUUGUAAACAAGAUAUAUUUGGUCAUUCUUCCAAUGUCCUUUGAUCUAUGUAAUAAAGGUCAGCAUUCAGUGCUUCAUUCUACAUUCUCCCAAAUAUCUAAUUGCCUAAUUAUUGCAUUAUUUCACAGCCAAUCAGCUGAAGGGGUUUGUAUGGGAGUAUGGCAGAAAAAGAGGGCUGUCAGUCUUUGGUUAUGGUCCUAUAGUUCUAAUUCAAGAAUUAAAUAUCUGUCUUUUCUAAAAGUCAUUACAUGAUUUAUUGGAAAAUUGGUAGAAACAGCCCUGGGGGGUUGUGCUCAAAAUCUGGUUUAGAAGAGUGGCUGCUAGCUAUGACUUUUGAUUUUCUUCUAUCAAAAUGAAUAGCGCUGCCUGUUUCUAUGCAAAUUAAAUGUUUGAAUGUAUUUUUUUAAGACAGAUUAUAUUUGUUAAUUUAAUUGGAUUUCUUAUGCAAUAGGGUGAUUUGUGUUUUGAUCUUUAUUUUUUUCUUUUAAAUGAGGAAGGCAAAUUCUUCCCUAGAAGUGCAGUACUGCUUUUUCUGUUGUUUGAUGGCCCUAAAACGUCUGCAGAAAUUGUAGGUCAAGAAUUACAGCCACAGUAAAUCAUGCCUCAUGAAUGAGAAGUCGUCUGUGAUUUCUCUAGGGUUUUUUUUUCUUUCUUUCUUUUUUUUUUUUUUCUGUCUUUAAAAUGAAUGUAAUAUUCAGAAGAAAAUAAAGCCUCCUUUAGCAUAACUGGCAUAGGUAUGAACCAUAUCAAAAUAUGUGUAUUUAUGACAUUCCAACCCAACAUCUAGAAUUUAGGCUGUAUCAAGCAGAGAGAAGCCUCUAUAAGUAACCUCAAGAAAAAAAAAAUAUAUAUUUUUAACAAUAUUUAUUCCAGUUAAUUAUUUUUAAAAACAUCAUUAGAUUUCUUCAUACAAAAGUGAUGAUUACUUCUCAUUGCGAACCCAGAAUAGAAUCAGGAAGGAUAUGGGGCAGCUCCUGCAGUGCAGUCUCUGGGAUACGGUACCCCAAGCUCCUGUUCUGGGGGGAGCAGUUGGGGGUCACCCCAGCUCCUCUUUGUAACUUAUUCACCUCCAGUUCUAGAGUAGCCGAUCCACUUCUGUAAUGCUGCGUGACAAUACAAGUGAUUGGCUUUUGGUGCUGAUUGUGGACAUGCAGCUAGAGACAGUCAAGGAGCAGCCUUGUGGUUUAGUUCACCCUUGUCUCUAUGGAGGGCUCCUCCUGUUUCAUGCUUCCCCACGCUGAAGGCUUAGUAAAAUCAGUAACUGCUGCUGCCUUUCUUUCCACCUUUUCUGCCAAAGUACCUGGUAAAGCAGUAAUGAUGGUGGCUGGAGGAAAAAGCCACAAAAAUACACACUUAAAUGCAGAAGAGGAGUUAACUCUAGUAUUUAUGUAUCUGAUAGAUUAUAAGAAAUUUUAUAUUGUACUGUCAGCAGCUGGACCCACAUAAUAGCCCCUAAAGCUUCAAAGAGCAAAUAACAGGCGCAUCAGAUGCAGCUGGGCAGAUACAAUAGAUUGAACAUCUCCAAAGAACUCCCAUUAGAGUCCGUUGGGUCAAUAACCCACAAACUAAGAAGGAUUUACAUGAUAGACCGUAACAGCUGUUUGGAAGCCAUUACAUUUUGUCAAUGCAAAAUCCAGUUUUCAAAAUAUUGUGAUAUACUUAUUUAUGUGAGAGGCCCUAAUGGCGCUGAAGGUGCCAUUCCAAGCUACAGCAUAGCAAAGAUAUGGUAUCUAAAUUUGGAACAGAAUCACAGUAGGUUAUUUAGCUGAUUCCUUGAAAUAGCUGAGAUGCCACUGCACUUCUUUGAAUGAAACGGAAAACUUAGAACAAAGCAAUCUGUGCAGACAGUGCAGUUAUGAAUACAAUGUGCUUGCACUGAGGAAAAAAAAAAAAGACAAGAAUAUCUUUUCUACAUUCCUCUGCCAUGUAUUCAAGAGUGAUGCUGGAAACAUUGGAAUAAUGUUGUGAGCUGUUUCCAGGUGCAGCCAAACUGGGUGAAAUCUGUACGGGAGGAUAGAGAGGAGAUGCUGCUCUGCCCUUGCUUCCCAUCACUCUUUGCUCAGAGUGUCCAGAAAUUAAUUCCAGUUCGGUUAAAUUUAGAGCAGCCUCAAAAUUCCUCUAAUUGAUGCCAGGGAGAGGGACUUUCUGCGCACCAGUUUCAUUCUUUUCUUUGACAGCUGGGCUCACUGCACUGCUGCAGAGAGAAGCCUGCACCGGUGGAAGCAACCAGAGGAAAAAGAGAGGGGAUUCCCAGUUUUUAUUGACCGUUUCUUUUGUGCCAGGACAGUGGUAUUAAAUGGACAUGGAGUUAGACCCCGCUGCUUUCUAUUUCCCCAGAUGUUUGUACGGUAAAAAGAUGCAAAAGUAGAGCAUACCAAGAAUAUUGUUGCGGUUACGCACUAAAUCUGCAAAAGACCUCAACAUUAAAAAUUAAUCUCAGGACUUUAUUAUUCCUUUGUAACUCAGCACUGCAAUGAUCUUUGUGUAGCGGAGGUCUCUGCAGUGCUCAUAUGUGCUCUUACGCUCAGGCAGAAUGCCAUGAAUUAAGGAUGGAGCGCAAACCUCGCCUUUGAAUUUCCUGGCUUUUGUUAGUUUGUGUCAUAAACUCAACAUUAUUCAAAUCUAGGGUUUUGUAUUUAAUAUUAUUAAACGCCUCCUCAUCAAUGCCAAGUCUGUAAUUGGUCACAGUGAAUAGGUGAUUAGACAGAUAAAGUGCAACUGUGAUUGUAAAAACUAUCACCAGGUUUGCAGAGGACAAUAAUUAUGUAGCUUACAAUGUUUGAAAAUAUUGCCUAAAUCUCUCUCCCACAUGUUGUUUGUGAUGGAAAACAAUUACACAAAGGAUUCUUUUUCUAAGCUGCCUCUGAUUCAGAUUUGCCUGAUGAAUGGUCUUUAUACCGAACCCAGAGCAUUUGUUCCAAGUAAAUUAUAUGUCACUGCAAAUGCAAAAGGUCUGCUUCACAAUGUUUAUUGGGAUAAAUUAAAUCUUCUAAAGAUGGUAAACAGAAGGCCUCAAUAAUUAUUCACUUCUGUAUAGUUUAAACUGAAAAGGAUGUUGCAGUUAGGAGGAUGGAGAUGAGGCAAACAACACUCCCCGCAUUGUGUUAACAACAUAAGAGGUACAAUAGGGAAAUUUAAUUUGAUACUGAUCUACAUGAGGCACAACACAGCAACACAGUUUCAAAUGCUACUUUUCUAAUGGCAGCCUUUGAAUUGCAAAUCUCCACCAAACCCACCUGAAUCAUUACUUGAACGCGUUCCCAGUCAAGUCAAGGAGUUCUCUCGUUGGCUUCCAGAGGGGCAGGAGUGGGCUCUGCCUCCUCGUGACUUCAGGAGGUAGACAUAAAAUCCGAUGGAUGCUUUCCUUGGGGAAGGUUUCAUCCUACAAGGUGACUGGCAUGCAGGCAGCUCGACAAAAAGGAUGCUGCUGGCCUUUGCUGCAGCAAGCCCAAUUUCUCCUUGCGCUGAAAGGUCAAAUCCCAGAAUAGUCUGCAGCCCUUUUGUAAGUGCUUUCCUCAGAGAGGAUACUUUUGCCAGUUGGCAGUGAUGUGAAAACGUUCUGUCACUUCCGUGGGCCAUCCAAAGUGUGACAAUCUUUCAUUUAAUGCUGUUGGGCCCCCAGUGAAAAAUUGCUCUGAAGAUGGCAGAGCCCUUCAGAGGAGAAAUGCCUUUGGUGGGUGCUUCUCAUUGCACCUCCAGGGUCACAGAGCUGCAUGCCAUGUGCCAGCAUAGAAAAUCUCUGGUGCCUUCUCACUUCAUGUGAGAGCACCAUAACUCACGGGGAAAAAGAUGCAGCAGGCCAUCUUUGCAAUUAUAGUACAUUCUCCUUGAGACUUCGACAAAUAUAUGGGAGUUUUUAAGGAUGUUGGUUAAUUAGUUUAUGAUCUAGUUUAAUAUAAAAUUGGAUCCUGCAUAUUUUCAACACACGUUGUCAGGUCAUUUUAGCUGAUCUAGCAGUUCAUUCCUGUAACUCCUGGAAUAUUUCUGACUUUCCAGAUAGUUAAAACUCUCUGAAAUCUCAUGCAGGGGUUAUUCAGAAACGUCCCAUCCCUAUUAAAAUGCCCUAGAGAAAAAUAUUAGCUGUUACUCAGCUACACUGUAGUCAGUAUUAGACUAUUUCUGAAAAGAAAUAAAAGAAAAAGAAAAAAAAAAACUUAUUGGCUUUGCUUUUAACCCUAGUUUUGCAUUUUAGGUGCUUGAUUCACUGCAGCAUUUCUGGUCCUCUACACCUUCCUACUCUUCUUUAGCAGUCACAGGUACUCCUCUAGCAUUCAUGAGUACGUUCCCAUUCAGAAGCUGUAUGAUUGUGGUCGUAUCUGGUCUUGAACGCUUCUGUGUUUAAACAUACACAAUUGCUCAGAAAUACAUACGUGUUUGCAGGAUUUGAUGGUUGGAUUGGAUAAUUCUAGUGGUCUUUUCCAACCUGGAUGACUCUAUGAUCAUAUGAUUCUCCUUGAAGGCAACAACUGGCUCUUUGGUUGACCCUCCAAUUCUCAGUACACCCCAAACAUCAAUCUUGAAAAUAAUGGAUAGAAGUCAGAGUGAGAAUAUUAUGUGUUGUGCAGCAGGGGGAGGGCAAAGAGGUCUUGUAGCAGAGCAGAUCUGGGAAGGCUGUAGAGAUCUACGGGUACAUACACAUGGAGAGGACAGGCCAUAGAAAGUAGACGUGUGUUUUGUUGCUUUGAGUAUUGCUGGUAAAAUGCAUGUGAACGCAUACUGCAUAUUCACUUCCGAGGAUGGCACAGAUAGUAUUUAUGAGAUGUGGAUACUCUCUUUUAAUGUUUGUUGCACUUUGUAAAUCAAAAUAUAACUCUGUGAACUCAAGGUUUUUCUUCGUUUAGCAGAUGGCCAAGGGAAGCAAUUAUGUUGUAUACUAAACAAGCAAGCUUCUCUUUGCAAAACAAGUCACUAAAAUCCUUUAUUUGUGAGCAAGCGUUUAUUAAUGACCUUUUUGAAUUUUACUACUGAGCCUCACAGUAAUAGAUGGGCAUUGUUAGAAAUGUAAAUGUAAAGAGAUAAGGAAAUUUUCAGGCAAAUCUAUAAUUUCAAAGAAAGCUGCUCUCUUCUAAUGACCUUGUUUGCAUGGAUAUCUGAUAGUAAAGCUAGGGAGGGUCACAGUAGAUAAAACCUAACAGAUCAUUGAAUGAAAAACAAAUAUUUAUUUUCUCUUUGUCUCUUUGGGACUCAUUUGCAUUAAAACUGAAGCAUUUCCAGAGACCGUUGGUGAAAAUAAAAGCUCAUUUAUGCAUUUAAUAUUAGGAAAGCACUUUGAGAUUGAGGUUGUGUAAAAACUGAUUCCACUCUGCAUCCUCGCCUUUCCAGGAAGAAUACCAAGCAGAGAAAAAUGGUACAGACAUUUGGUCUGCUGUAUACCUCAAAUUUGCAUUUUAUUGCGCCAGUGUAUUUUUAUAACUGCAUUAUAGAUAUCAUUGUCACACUUGGCUUCUUUUGUGAAUUCCAGCUCCAAUUCUCUGAAGCUAUUUGUCACUUAUUUUAACCUUGAGCAUAGUCUCAUAAACAAAACACCUCCCUCAGUCCCUGUUGUCUGACUACCUGAAGCACUCGGGAGUUAUCUCUACCAGUCUCCCUGCUAUGGUGCUCGCCAAACCUUUUGUUCUCAUUCAGUGUCAUGAGAUUCCUUUUAGAAAUUAAAAAAUCCCACCAUGGCAGAUGCAUUUUACUGAAUAAAUUGUUUGAAUUUGCUCAAGUCUGGGAAACUUGAGGUCACCUGUUAAUUUUUUGAAGGGGUAGGACUGACAACAGAUUCACCCAAGCUCAUUUCGCACUGUGAUGUUCCCAGCAGAGUCAAGGUUGGCCUCCACCAGCACGGCAUGGGCAGCACUGGUCUGUAGCAGGGCUCUGGUCCCUACAUUUGGUGUCUCUGUGCCCACUGCGGUUGCAGUGUCCAUCCUUCCCUUAUGGGACAGAAUGCAAAACACUGAAGGGGAUGCUGGAAAACAAGAUGUUUGUGCCAGGUUUUCUUGCACGCUGUUUUAUUUCUAGCAUUGUUGCUUUUGACACUCAAUGAAGUUAGAAAAUGUGAUCAGCUCACUGAGGAGGCCUCAAGUUUUAUUGUCUGCUUGGUGGGAAUAAGGAUGGUGCAUAAUUCCAUUGUUUUGAAAGCUCUAAUCUAGAAACCCAGACAAGCCUAUAUUUCUUUUAAACAAGUAUCUGAUUUAUUUUUAAGCAAUCCGAGUUAAAAAGGAACUAGGAUUGAAGUUAUACAGUCAUCAUUAAUGAAAUUUUAUAUGGAAUAGCAUUUCACAUACAAAAUAAUUAAGUCUCUGUGUUGAUAAAGGAUUAACCGAAUCUUUAGUAUUCCUUUCUGAAUGGCAGCUUCAGUCUUCAGAUAGAUUGCCUUUGAAGUCAAUAGGAGAAGCCACGUGUUCAUCAAAAUAUGGAAGUUAUCUUUGUCAUUAACCUUGAGAAGCUUCAUCGAUUACUGGCAGUAAGUAAGAUCUGAUGGUUUUAGAAAAAUAACUGCUUCAAAAACAAUUUUCAAGGCAUAUUUGACAAGGAGUUAAAUGAAGCCACAAAAAUACGGGAUGGAUAUGAAUUGGUGCAGCUAGCUCAGAAUAGUUUUGUAUGGCAGUUCAAUUAGCUUUACUGGUAUGCUAAAGAAGGCAAAAAUCUCCAUUUUGCCAUUUUCAAGUCAAAAUCAGCAUCUACCUGUGAUGUAGAAAUUAAUAGAAGCAGAGAGCCAUCUGAGUACCAUGAUGACACUCCAAUAAGAUCAUUUUACUGAAAAGUCACCACUACUGUGUUGCAUUUAAACUCCUUUGCAACUCAGCUGUAUUUGAAAAUGUGACCAUAUGAUUAUAACUUAACAGGGAAACGCAUACGUUCCCCGUGGGCUUGUGAGAUGUCAAAAAGUGUUUCUGAAGAGAUUUCCAUUCCACCUUUUUUAUUUGAAAGGACUUUGUGAACCUUAGUGACUUUAGCUGCCUAAACAUUUGUUCUGCGAUCUACUGAUGCUGCUUCUCCAAUAGAUAAAACAGUAUUAAUUUCAGCCUUUUUGAAUGAGCGUUUGGAAAGUGCAAACCUGACAGAUGUAGGAGACUCUGCAUUUUGAGCUUCUGAACUAUUAAGGACUGCAUGUUUAAACUUUAACUGGCGGAACUGCCUUUCUUUCAAUUUUCUCAGUAUAUAUUAUACACGAUAAUGCAUUUUUUAACAAAAGGAACUGUGCUAUCACUCAACUCAAGGCUUUCUAAGAUUAAAUAAGUUUCUGGCCUACUUCACUUUGCCUUCACCAGAGACACUAGAAAUAAAAGAAGCCUCUCUGGAUGCACUGUCCAUCUGUUUCCCAAGCAGAUGAUAACAUCUUGUCUCUCCUAGCAAGUUUCAGUAGGACCAAAUAUUGGAGACUUGCAAUUUUCUUUGCAAGCCAGGUGUAUUUCAGCUCCUGAUAUCUUUACUUCUGGUAUGUGUCUGCUCUUCUCAUUCCUUAGGGGAUUCUGUGCUACAUUCUGUGCUAGAGCAGCUUUCCUUGCCCCUUCUGUUGCCACCUUUCAGCCCAUGCUGGAGCCUCUCUAGCUUUGUAUCUCCCCAGGACUCCCUUCCAAUACCCUGACAUAUCUCUGUGAUCACUCUCCCUGCAUAACGUAUGCAUUACGGGACAAGAGAGAUACUGGAAAUAUGGCCCCAACCCUCCCUUGGUUGAUGUUUUUGAAGGGAUGUGUCAGCUUUUUGUCUUGGAGCAGAACAAGCCCACAGCAGUUCAAUUAACAAACAGACAAAGAAAAAAACAUUAAAGGUGAGUUGUGUGCCACAGAAAUGCUGGAUGAAAGCUAAUGAUAUAAAGGAUGGUGUACUGAUAUAAAGAAUGAUGCAAAGUUUUUAUCCUCUUAUUACUUGAUGAGCAGUGAGCUCCUGACAUUUAAGACCUAAGCCUCUGGUCCUGAGGCAGAACAUCCAACAUACAGAGAGGUUUGCCUAAGCAAAUCUUAUAGAGGUGACCAGAUUCAGUCAAUGUGCGUGAGGCACGCUUUAGCCAUAUGUAUCCAGCUCUUCCUACUUAUUAAGAUGUGACCCUUCCCCUGCUGCAGGAUCAUCCCUUAUACUGUGAUUUGCAGCAAUUAAUUGGUCUCCUCUAAAGUGACUAGCAAAUCCAUAUACUACUGUAAUUACCUGAAUGUAAAAUAUUUAGGAAAUAUCUAUCAUGCUCUUGGAAGUCUCAGGUCAUUGAAAGAAAGCCAAUGAAAUUGCAAACAAGCUGAAGGGAUUGGAUAUCGGCUACAUUUCCUCCCCCCUCCCUGUUCUCUUGGCUCUUAGCAUUUGUCUCUAGGGCAUGACCAAAUAGUGGGCAUGUGUCAUAAAGACAUUUAUCAUGUAAUUACAGCUUUAAGAUCAGUUUCUGUUGAUGCGAGAUGAUUACUGUGUAUUUCACGCCUUUCAGGUUCCCAGCUGGGAUUCAGAGAUUUAAGGACAUGGGAUAUAUAUAUUUUAAAUUUAUGAGAUGGCCAUUUAAUUAAUUGGAGCAUAAGAGUUCAGUCAGUGACCAAAUCGGAACCCUGCAAAACAGAGAGAACAAGAUGUUUUAUGAAGUUUCAAUAUUUUCGACACAUAGAAGUUGGAAAAGCAAAGACCUUUGUUUCCUCUCCAAGGAACAGAACAUUUCUGCGGAGCGAGAAAAAUGACACAUCAAAUUAAUUCAUUGUGAAACCUGAUACUAGAAUAAGAAUACUGUUAAAAUGAGUCUAUUUUAGGCUUGACUUAAAAUGUAUUGUUCUUCUGUGUUAGCAGUAGCUCAGUGCCACUUCCAUAUGGCUUACAUCAAUACAUGCAUUUUAAAAUCUAGGCUCAGGAGUUGCAAUUGUGAUUCCUUGAAUUCAUUUCAAGAUUUUAUAUUGUGUUUUUAUUUGACUUUGUGUUUUCAAAUGCAGAUCCAGUUUGACUUGAGAGGAGCCCUGUCACCAAGGUGAUCGUGCAGCUGGUUUUCCAAUGUUUCUAAUACUCACUAAAUUUCUAUGAGCUUUCUAUUGAACUCCUAUUUCUUCUGAUACUGGCUCAGCAAUUGGAUCACCCCCGUGGCCAUUUAAGUAUAAGAUAGUUAGCAAGCCUACAUUUUAGAUUAACUGUACAGCAAAACAGUGUUGCAUGUCAUCACACAAAAACAUUCCUGAGUGCUGAAGGGUUGGUUGGCUGUUCUUGCAGGCUGUUCUCCCUGGCAUUGAAACACCUGUGUGGGUGCAGUCAGACCUGUGGGAGGCUGUGAUAAUGGAUGACGAAUUAAGUCCGAAGUCUUCUUCCUGAAAUGGGGUUGGCUGGCUGAGCUCCUGGACGUCACAGCUCCCUCUGUACAGCCACAGAGAUAGUUGCCUGUAGCACCUCCAGCCCUACUGUCACAGCUUCAGAUGUCAUUUGUUUCCAAAUAACGAGGCACAUCCCGUUGUGAUGUUCUGAUCCAGCAAACAGCCUCCGCUCUUCUUGUUCACUGGGGAAUGUACAUGCCUUGUGGAAGCUACUGCAGCAACAUUGAAGAGAAGGGAGUUCUCACAAUUGAAGCCAGCAGCCCUAUUUGUCUCUUCUGCUGAAGGAAAGCUAAACAUGCAAAUCGGGCAGGCGGCUGAGGAUCGUAAAAGGACGAGCAGGGUGCAAUAUACACAGGGAGGAAAACAAAGAGAGAUGAGUCCUGACAGCAGAGAAAUUAUACCUGGCUUCAUGUGAGGGCACAGACCUGGCCCUGGCUGCCCCAAGAUCACUGCACACUGCCAGCCAAGCUGUUCUCAUGCUUAAUUUACAGCCUGCAAGGUUCAUGCACCACCUAAUGAAAAAUCGCGAUGGGAACUUUGCAGGAGAAAGUAGGACAGUUGGCACAUUAUUCACAUUUCAGCAGAGGAGGGGAGAGCUCCUUUUGCCUCGAGAACUGACCUCAUGGUGGUUUGACCUGCACAGAGGGCUGUCAUCGGGGCUUUAUGAUCAUUCCAAUUUGGAUUGUAACGUUAUGCUGAAAGUAACACUGGACUCUAUUAUCUUGCUUUGCCCUUUCCAUAAUUCAACGCCAUGUUUGCAGCAUAGCAGCAGUUCGAGGAGUUUGAGAAGUUUUGGUGGAGGUAGUCCAGCCUCGAUGCUGAGCAUUGCUCAGCAGCAUCGUUCACUCUGGAUACAUCUCACGUGUGGGAAAAACAAUAAGAAUUACCUCAAGAUUACUCAUGUCCUCAAUUAGAAAUUGUUUUUCUCCUGUGACUUGUGUUGUUGGUAGCUGAAAUGGCUGUUCACACUACAAGUGGCCUUUUAUUCACCUGCCUUCAAGCACCCAGAGGCACCAACCAACUCCUUCCCUCCUUCCAUGAGGUUCUCUCUCUCUCUGUGGCUGAUAUUACCAAACUGAUAUCUUUAUUCUCACUGAUUUCAGGUGAAGCUUCUUUCUCCCCGUGAGUACCCAUCAGUCACUUCUCCAUUCAAGAGGCAGAACAUUGCUACCCAGACCUGCAUCUAAAAAGUACGAUUUUCUUGACAACACCAGUUGUUUCUCGCAGUCCACGUUCAGAAGGUCCCAUGGACAGAAUUACACUUUAUCCACUUGAACUUUCAUAGUUUCCAGAAGUUCAUACGAUCUUUUCCAAACUCCCCAUGUUACACAAUUUCCUUGUUCUUUGGAGCAACCUCUCAGGCAGAAGGGUAUUACUAUAUCUAUAGCUGUAGUCCCAGGUAAUUGAAUUCUCCUCUUCCUCUACAAUUUGGCUCUGAAUCACGUUCUUUUUAAAUAAUAAAGUAAAAUACAAAAUAAA